This 497-nucleotide ribosomal RNA is filed under the name uncultured bacterium. RNAcentral's name for it is "partial 16S ribosomal RNA". It matches the Rfam family "Bacterial small subunit ribosomal RNA", at positions 28 to 507 of the family's 1533-position model. The record is from RNAcentral.
GAUGAACGCUGGCGGCGUGCCUAAUACAUGCAAGUCGAGCGAACAGACGAGGAGCUUGCUCCUCUGCCGUUAGCGGCGGACGGGUGAGUAACACGUGGAUAACCUCCCUAUAAGACUGGAAUAACUUCGGGAAACCGGAGCUAAUACCGGAUAAUAUAUUGAACCGCAUGGUUCAAUAGUGAAAGACGGUUUUGCUGUCACUUAUAGAUGGAUCCGCGCCGCAUUAGCUAGUUGGUAAGGUAACGGCCUACCAAGGCAACGAUGCGUAGCCGACCUGAGAGGGUGAUCGGCCACACUGGAACUGAGACACGGUCCAGACUCCUACGGGAGGCAGCAGUAGGGAAUCUUCCGCAAUGGGCGAAAGCCUGACGGAGCAACGCCGCGUGAGUGAUGAAGGUCUUCGGAUCGUAAAACUCUGUUAUUAGGGAAGAACAAAUGUGUAAGUAACUAUGCACGUCUUGACGGUACCUAAUCAGAAAGCCACGGCUAACUACGUG